UACAGAGGGUGCAAGCGUUAAUCGGAAUGACUGGGCGUAAAGGGCGCGUAGGUGGAUGCAUAAGUAAAUUGUGAAAGACCCGGGCUUAACCUGGGAAGGUCAAUUUAAACGGUGCAUCUAGAGUGGAGUAGAGGGAAGUAGAAUUUCCGGUGUAGCGGUGAAAUGCGUAGAUAUCGGAAGGAAUACCGGUGGCGAAGGCGUCUUCCUGGACUCUAACUGACACUGAGGCGCGAAAGCAUGGGGAUCAAACAGG
RNAcentral lists this ribosomal RNA (253 nucleotides) under uncultured bacterium. Its description in RNAcentral is "partial 16S ribosomal RNA". It matches the Rfam family "Bacterial small subunit ribosomal RNA", at positions 524 to 776 of the family's 1533-position model. The record is from RNAcentral.